RNAcentral lists this microRNA (22 nucleotides) under Mus musculus (house mouse). RNAcentral describes it as "mmu-miR-6342". Lineage: Eukaryota; Metazoa; Chordata; Mammalia; Rodentia; Muridae. The record is from miRBase by way of RNAcentral.
CAGCAGCAAUCUGGUCUUUGAG